UUGAAAUGGCGAGGCGAUGACCCCGGGGGCAGCACGGUCACCCCGCCCUUCACCGAAGGGCGAACCCCCGGUCGAGCCAGAGGUGAGACCGGCGCCGCACCCC
RNAcentral lists this non-coding RNA (103 nucleotides) under unclassified sequences. RNAcentral's name for it is "c-di-GMP sequence". It matches the Rfam family "c-di-GMP-II-GAG riboswitch aptamer". The record is from Rfam by way of RNAcentral.